AGCUUGGUCGCAAUGCAAAAAAUCAAUCUCUUGCUUUAAGAGCCCAACAUCAAAGGCAAGACAUGUCCGGCAGUAAUACCAAUUUUCUUUUCAAUUAAAUUUUUUAAUUUUAACUUUUUUUUUUCAUUUACAAAAAUAAGAAAUUUUGUUGUAUUUUCUCUUUAAAUAAAUUUAUUAAUUUUUAUCUUUUUUAUUUCUAAAAAUCAGCAUUUUCCAUGUAUGAUUACUCUUUAGCAUCCUGGUGCCAUGUCCCAUUAACAUAUGUCGAGC
Molecule: long non-coding RNA, 270 nt
Filed under: Durio zibethinus
Lineage: Eukaryota; Viridiplantae; Streptophyta; Magnoliopsida; Malvales; Malvaceae
Description: long non-coding RNA (DZIB_LNC001483)
Source: RNAcentral